AUUGAACGCUGGCGGCAGGCUUAACACAUGCAAGUCGAGCGGGGUGAUGGUGCUUGCACUAUCACUUAGCGGCGGACGGGUGAGUAAUGCUUAGGAAUCUGCCUAUUAGUGGGGGACAACAUCUCGAAAGGGAUGCUAAUACCGCAUACGUCCUACGGGAGAAAGCAGGGGAUCACUUGUGACCUUGCGCUAAUAGAUGAGCCUAAGUCGGGUUAGCUAGUUGGUGGGGUAAAGGCCUACCAAGGCGACGAUCUGUAGCGGGUCUGAGAGGAUGAACCGCCACACUGGGAUUGAGACACGGCCCAGGCUCCGACGGGAGGAAGCAGUGGGGAAUAUUGGACAAUGGGGGGAACCCUGAUCCAGCCAUGCCGCGUGUGUGAAGAAGGCCUUAUGGUUGUAAAGCACUUUAAGCGAGGAGGAGGCUCUUUUGGUUAAUACCCAAGAUGAGUGGACGUUACUCGCAGAAUAAGCACCGGCUAACUCUGUGCCAGCCGCCGCCGUAA
This 503-nucleotide ribosomal RNA is filed under the name uncultured bacterium. Its description in RNAcentral is "partial 16S ribosomal RNA". It matches the Rfam family "Bacterial small subunit ribosomal RNA", at positions 30 to 523 of the family's 1533-position model. The record is from RNAcentral.